CCUACGGGUGGCUGCAGUGGGGAAUAUUGGACAAUGGGCGAAAGCCUGAUCCAGCCAUGCCGCGUGUGUGAAGAAGGCCUUCGGGUUGUAAAGCACUUUCAGUGGGGAAGAAAGCCUUGGGGCUAAUACCCUCGAGGAAGGACAUCACCCACAGAAGAAGCACCGGCUAACUCCGUGCCAGCAGCCGCGGUAAUACGGAGGGUGCGAGCGUUAAUCGGAAUUACUGGGCGUAAAGCGCGCGUAGGCGGUCUGAUAAGCCGGUUGUGAAAGCCCCGGGCUCAACCUGGGAACGGCAUCCGGAACUGUCAGGCUAGAGUGCAGGAGAGGAAGGUAGAAUUCCCGGUGUAGCGGUGAAAUGCGUAGAGAUCGGGAGGAAUACCAGUGGCGAAGGCGGCCUUCUGGACUGACACUGACGCUGAGGUGCGAAAGCGUGGGUAGCAAACAGGAUUAGAUACCCGGGUAGG
RNAcentral lists this ribosomal RNA (464 nucleotides) under Vreelandella stevensii. Its description in RNAcentral is "partial 16S ribosomal RNA". It matches the Rfam family "Bacterial small subunit ribosomal RNA", at positions 338 to 794 of the family's 1533-position model. Lineage: Bacteria; Pseudomonadati; Pseudomonadota; Gammaproteobacteria; Oceanospirillales; Halomonadaceae. The record is from RNAcentral.